AUGGGAGCCUGCCAGUGUUUUAUUGCUCAGAUAAGGGAUUUUCAUAUCAGUCUUGAUGAGAAACAGUUGAGGACUAGUCUUGCCACCUCCUGCAAAAGCCCUUGUUUUAGGACCUGACUCCUCACUCUACCCACAGCCAGGACCCUUAUACUGUAGAGGACAGGGUGGACAACACUCAAGCUUCUAAAAGGAAAUAACAGGUUGGGGACAGUGGCUCACACCUGUAAUCCCAGCACUUGUGGGGGCUGAGGUGGGAGGAUCACUCGAGCCAAGAACUUCAAGACCAGACUGGGAAAUAUAGCAAGACUCCAUCUCUACUAAAAUUUUAAAUUAAAAAAAAAUUUUAAGGAAAUAACAGGGUGACCCAUUAAUGAGAAAAAUUGAGAAAACUGCAUUUACACAGUAUCCCACCUCUCCACUCAAAGCCGGUAACCUGGAAACAUUCUGCAGUCAACAUGGCCCAGGAAAUCCCCUCUUAUGAAGUGUGAGGGGUUUCUGAGGGAGAGGAGCGAAGGGUAAAAUCCAGGGGUCUUCAUUAUUCCUGUCUCCAGGAAAAUUUGUUAAUUCUUGCGUCGCCCCUGGAGCCGUCCAUAGCAACCCAAACAUUUCCAAUGUGUGAUGGAACAAUGGCUUCCAAGGGGCUCCAGAAGUCAGAAAAAACCUUUAAGAUUGUUUUGUCCAGUGGUUAGCACACUCUUUAGCCUUUUGUCUAACAGACUUGUUUCCAGAAAGCUCAAUGUUCAGGAUAGACACCGGCGAGCAGCUCUGAUGGAAACAGGAGGACAGCCCUGUGGAGCCAUCACUUUCCUUCCUCCCAGCUCAAGGGUUUGGGGAGAGUGUCCAGGGAGGAGCAGGCUGGAGUGCCAGUGGAGGCAGGUCUGCCUGUCAUUCACCCUCUUCCCCACGCGUGGACGAUCCCUCCAAGAACCUGCUUUCCAGGUCAGGUAUAACCAAGCAGCAGUAGCUAGAAGCCAGAACAAACCCAUCCUGCAGCCCAGGGCUUGCCCCCAUCAGACCCCAUGGCUGGAAAUGGACAAAGGAUUGGACUCUGAGCCCAGCUCUACCUCAGACUUGCUGCUCAUGCAGCAGUGUAGAUUCCGGGGGUUGGUGAGUUACCUGAUUCACCAGCCUACCCUUAGUUCAGUCUGCUCAGCAAUCAUCUCAGAUGUGCAAAAACCUAGCCUACUUUUUAAAGUAGGCUGAUCAGAUUGCACGUUGCUCUAGCUAAUUCCCGGCAUUUAAUGUUCUUCCCUAACCUGGAUCUGUCAUUUCUGUCAUGACUAAAACUUAACCUUUUUCUAUUUGGUCUUUAGAGGAGACAGGGCAGUCGGUCAUAUUUCUCAAGGCAAAGGGCCUCCUUAGGCUUGAAAGCCAUAAUCAAAUCGCCCCUUAGGCUUCUCCAUCUGAGGUUGAUGGAUCUCAGUUGCUUUCCUGGUUAAUUACAGCUGUAUCCUUUCUUCCUCUUAAGGCCUCUGCCCUUAUCCUUUAGCUGAGGAAUCCAAGAC
Molecule: long non-coding RNA, 1505 nt
Filed under: Callithrix jacchus (white-tufted-ear marmoset)
Lineage: Eukaryota; Metazoa; Chordata; Mammalia; Primates; Cebidae
Description: lncRNA (ENSCJAG00000074123.1)
Source: RNAcentral